UCCCUGUUGACUCAGACGGUAAAGAAUCUGCCUUCAAUGCAGGAGACCCAGGUUCAAUCCCUGGGUUGGGAG
RNAcentral lists this transfer RNA (72 nucleotides) under Bos taurus (domestic cattle). It matches the Rfam family "tRNA". From Rfam's summary of the family: Transfer RNA (tRNA) molecules are approximately 80 nucleotides in length. Their secondary structure includes four short double-helical elements and three loops (D, anti-codon, and T loops). RNAcentral also lists the same sequence under 4 other names. The record is from Rfam by way of RNAcentral. Lineage: Eukaryota; Metazoa; Chordata; Mammalia; Artiodactyla; Bovidae.